GGGGAAUAUUGCACAAUGGGGGAAACCCUGAUGCAGCAACGCCGCGUGAAGGAUGAAGGUUUUCGGAUUGUAAACUUCUUUAGUCAGAGACGAAAAAAAUGACGGUACCUGAAGAAUAAGCCACGGCUAACUACGUGCUAGCAGCCGCGGUAAUACGUAGGUGGCAAGCGUUGUCCGGAAUUACUGGGUGUAAAGGGCGUGUAGGCGGGAAUGUAAGUCAGAUGUGAAAUCCCAGGGCUUAACCCUGGAGCUGCAUCUGAAACUAUGUUUCUUGAGUGCUGGAGAGGAAAGCGGAAUUCCUAGUGUAGUGGUGAAAUGCGUAGAUAUUAGGAGGAACACCAGUGGCGAAGGCGGCUUUCUGGACGGUAACUGAUGCUGAGGCGCGAAAGCGUGGGGAGCAAAC
This 403-nucleotide ribosomal RNA is filed under the name uncultured bacterium. RNAcentral describes it as "bacterial SSU rRNA". It matches the Rfam family "Bacterial small subunit ribosomal RNA", at positions 356 to 773 of the family's 1533-position model. The record is from RNAcentral.